RNAcentral lists this ribosomal RNA (505 nucleotides) under uncultured bacterium. RNAcentral's name for it is "partial 16S ribosomal RNA". It matches the Rfam family "Bacterial small subunit ribosomal RNA", at positions 28 to 507 of the family's 1533-position model. The record is from RNAcentral.
GACGAACGCUGGCGGCGUGCCUAAUACAUGCAAGUAGAACGCACAGUUUAUACCGUAGCUUGCUACACCAUAGACUGUGAGUUGCGAACGGGUGAGUAACGCGUAGGUAACCUGCCUGGUAGCGGGGGAUAACUAUUGGAAACGAUAGCUAAUACCGCAUAAUAUUAAUUAUUGCAUGAUAAUUAAUUGAAAGGUGCAAUUGCACCACUACCAGAUGGACCUGCGUUGUAUUAGCUAGUAGGUGAGGUAACGGCUCACCUAGGCGCCGAUACAUAGCCGACCUGAGAGGGUGAUCGGCCACACUGGGACUGAGACACGGCCCAGACUCCUACGGGAGGCAGCAGUAGGGAAUCUUCGGCAAUGGACGAAAGUCUGACCGAGCAACGCCGCGUGAGUGAAGAAGGUUUUCGGAUCGUAAAGCUCUGUUGUAAGAGAAGAACGGGUGUGAGAGUGGAAAGUUCACACUGUGACGGUAUCUUACCAGAAAGGGACGGCUAACUACGUG